Molecule: ribosomal RNA, 253 nt
Filed under: uncultured bacterium
Lineage: Bacteria
Description: partial 16S ribosomal RNA
Rfam family: Bacterial small subunit ribosomal RNA
Source: RNAcentral
UACGUAGGUGGCAAGCGUUGUCCGGAUUUACUGGGCGUAAAGCGCACGUAGGCGGAUUGUUAAGUCGGGGGUGAAAUCCUGGAGCUCAACUCCAGAACUGCCUUCGAUACUGGCGAUCUCGAGUUCGGGAGAGGUGAGUGGAACUGCGAGUGUAGAGGUGAAAUUCGUAGAUAUUCGCAAGAACACCAGUGGCGAAGGCGGCUCACUGGCCCGAUACUGACGCUGAGGUGCGAAAGCGUGGGGAGCAAACAGG